Ovis aries (sheep) is the source of this 72-nucleotide transfer RNA. It matches the Rfam family "tRNA". Rfam says of the family: Transfer RNA (tRNA) molecules are approximately 80 nucleotides in length. Their secondary structure includes four short double-helical elements and three loops (D, anti-codon, and T loops). Further hydrogen bonds mediate the characteristic L-shaped molecular structure. tRNAs have two regions of fundamental functional importance: the anti-codon, which is responsible for specific mRNA codon recognition, and the 3' end, to which the tRNAs corresponding amino acid is attached (by aminoacyl-tRNA synthetases). tRNAs cope with the degeneracy of the genetic code in two manners: having more than one tRNA (with a specific anti-codon) for a particular amino acid; and 'wobble' base-pairing, i.e. permitting non-standard base-pairing at the 3rd anti-codon position. The record is from Rfam. NCBI's taxonomy places the organism in Eukaryota, Metazoa, Chordata, Mammalia, Artiodactyla, Bovidae.
UCCCUGGUGGCUCAGAUGGUAAAGAAUCUGCUUACAAUACAGGAGACCCAGGUUCAAUCCCUGGGCUGGGAA